GUCCCGCUGUACCGAAAAGUCACCGGAGGUGGCCUGCCAGUCGUAAGGCUGGAUAGGAGGCGGGACGCAC
Molecule: non-coding RNA, 70 nt
Filed under: unclassified sequences
Description: DUF3800-IX RNA
Rfam family: DUF3800-IX RNA
About the family: Actinobacteria, Firmicutes (1 example), Nitrospirae, Proteobacteria, Verrucomicrobia (1 example).
Source: Rfam by way of RNAcentral